Molecule: unclassified non-coding RNA, 637 nt
Filed under: Hevea brasiliensis (rubber tree)
Lineage: Eukaryota; Viridiplantae; Streptophyta; Magnoliopsida; Malpighiales; Euphorbiaceae
Source: RNAcentral
CGUGCUGUCUUCCACAGCAACAGGGCUGCGUGCUUAAUGCAAAUGAAACCUAUUGAUUAUGAGACUGUUAUUUCUGAGUGUACUUUGGCACUCCAAGUACAGCCUCUGUUCGUAAGGGCUCUCCUUAGGAGGGCUCGUGCUUUUGAAGCGAUUGGGAAGUAUGACAUGGCGAUGCAGGAUGUUCAGGUAUUGUUAGGAGCUGAACCAGAACACCGAGAUGCUUUGGAGAUUGCCCGGAGAUUGAGAACUGCAUUCGGUCCUCGCCAAGAGGCUCAGCAGGACCUCCAAAGCCGCCCUUCUCCUGCUGCACUAGGGGCAUCUGCAGUCCGUGGUGCACCAAUUGCUGGCCUUGGGCCUUGUUUACCAGCCCGGCCGGUCUCCAAGAAGGCAGCAACUCCACCUGGGUUAUUGGCUGUGUCAGCCACUAAUAAGCUGGAAAAGCCUCAAGUGAAUGUGGUCGGUGAAAAUGAUCCUGAGACCAAAACCCAGUUGUCAAAACUUGGGUUGAAGCCUUCAAGUGGUUCUUCCAAACUGGCCACAAAUCUGGCCAAGGAUAGCCAAGGAGAAGAAUCUUCAUCAGUCUCAUUGCCCAUUCGUGGUAAUGUUCUGGAGGUGGCAGUUCGAUGGAGACCAUUGA